AGAGUUUGAUCAUGGCUCAGAUUGAACGCUGGCGGCAGGCCUAACACAUGCAAGUCGAGCGGUAGCACAGAGAGCUUGCUCUCGGGUGACGAGCGGCGGACGGGUGAGUAAUGUCUGGGAAACUGCCUGAUGGAGGGGGAUAACUACUGGAAACGGUAGCUAAUACCGCAUAACGUCGCAAGACCAAAGUGGGGACCUUCGGGCCUCAUGCCAUCAGAUGUGCCCAGAUGGGAUUAGCUAGUAGGUGGGGUAACGGCUCACCUAGGCGACGAUCCCUAGCUGGUCUGAGAGGAUGACCAGCCACACUGGAACUGAGACACGGUCCAGACUCCUACGGGAGGCAGCAGUGGGGAAUAUUGCACAAUGGGCGCAAGCCUGAUGCAGCCAUGCCGCGUGUGUGAAGAAGGCCUUCGGGUUGUAAAGCACUUUCAGCGGGGAGGAAGGCGGUGAGGUUAAUAACCUCAUCGAUUGACGUUACCCGCAGAAGAAGCACCGGCUAACUCCGUGCCAGCAGCCGCGGUAAUACGGAGGGUGCAAGCGUUAAUCGGAAUUACUGGGCGUAAAGCGCACGCAGGCGGUCUGUCAAGUCGGAUGUGAAAUCCCCGGGCUCAACCUGGGAACUGCAUUCGAAACUGGCAGGCUAGAGUCUUGUAGAGGGGGGUAGAAUUCCAGGUGUAGCGGUGAAAUGCGUAGAGAUCUGGAGGAAUACCGGUGGCGAAGGCGGCCCCCUGGACAAAGACUGACGCUCAGGUGCGAAAGCGUGGGGAGCAAACAGGAUUAGAUACCCUGGUAGUCCACGCCGUAAACGAUGUCGAUUUGGAGGUUGUGCCCUUGAGGCGUGGCUUCCGGAGCUAACGCGUUAAAUCGACCGCCUGGGGAGUACGGCCGCAAGGUUAAAACUCAAAUGAAUUGACGGGGGCCCGCACAAGCGGUGGAGCAUGUGGUUUAAUUCGAUGCAACGCGAAGAACCUUACCUGGUCUUGACAUCCACAGAACUUUCCAGAGAUGGAUUGGUGCCUUCGGGAACUGUGAGACAGGUGCUGCAUGGCUGUCGUCAGCUCGUGUUGUGAAAUGUUGGGUUAAGUCCCGCAACGAGCGCAACCCUUAUCCUUUGUUGCCAGCGGUUAGGCCGGGAACUCAAAGGAGACUGCCAGUGAUAAACUGGAGGAAGGUGGGGAUGACGUCAAGUCAUCAUGGCCCUUACGACCAGGGCUACACACGUGCUACAAUGGCAUAUACAAAGAGAAGCGACCUCGCGAGAGCAAGCGGACCUCAUAAAGUAUGUCGUAGUCCGGAUUGGAGUCUGCAACUCGACUCCAUGAAGUCGGAAUCGCUAGUAAUCAUAGAUCAGAAUGCUACGGUGAAUACGUUCCCGGGCCUUGUACACACCGCCCGUCACACCAUGGGAGUGGGUUGCAAAAGAAGUAGGUAGCUUAACCUUCGGGAGGGCGCUUACCACUUUGUGAUUCAUGACUGGGGUGAAGUCGUAACAAGGUAACCGUAGGGGAACCUGCGGUUGGAUCACCU
Molecule: ribosomal RNA, 1527 nt
Filed under: Klebsiella pneumoniae subsp. ozaenae
Lineage: Bacteria; Pseudomonadati; Pseudomonadota; Gammaproteobacteria; Enterobacterales; Enterobacteriaceae
Description: bacterial SSU rRNA
Rfam family: Bacterial small subunit ribosomal RNA
Source: RNAcentral